This 424-nucleotide ribosomal RNA is filed under the name uncultured prokaryote. RNAcentral's name for it is "partial 16S ribosomal RNA". It matches the Rfam family "Bacterial small subunit ribosomal RNA", at positions 355 to 796 of the family's 1533-position model. The record is from RNAcentral.
UGGGGAAUAUUGGACAAUGGGCGCAAGCCUGAUCCAGCCAUGCCGCGUGGGUGAAGAAGGCCCUAGGGUUGUAAACCCCUUUCAGCGGGGAAGAUAAUGACGGUACCCGCAGAAGAAGCCCCGGCUAACUCCGUGCCAGCAGCCGCGGUAAUACGGAGGGGGCUAGCGUUGUUCGGAAUUAUUGGGCGUAAAGCGUCCGCAGGUGGUGCCUCAAGUCUGCUGUCAAAGACCGAAGCUCAACUUCGGGCAGGCAGUGGAAACUGAAGCACUAGAGUACGGUAGGGGUAUAGGGAAUUUCCAGUGUAGCGGUGAAAUGCGUAGAGAUUGGAAAGAACACCAGUGGCGAAGGCGCUCUACUGGACCGUAACUGACACUCAGGGACGAAAGCUAGGGUAGCGAAAGGGAUUAGAUACCCGCGUAGUCC